GAGUUUGAUUCUUGCUCAGGAUGAACGCUGGCGGUAUGCCUAACACAUGCAAGUUGAACGGUUUCUGUAGCAGGAAAUAGUAGCGGACGGGUGAGUAAUAUGUAAGAAUCUACAUUUAGGAUAGGGAUAACAAUUGGAAACGUUUGCUAAUACCUAAUAUUGCUAUUUAGUGAAAGAUUUUUCGCCUAAAUACGAGCUUAUAUCUGAUUAGUUAGUUGGUAAGGUAACGGCUUACCAAGACGAUGAUCGGUAGUUGGUUUGUGAAAAUGAUCAACCACAUUGGAAUUGAGAUAAGGGACAAACUUCUACGGAAGGCAGCAGUGGGGAAUAUUUCUAUAAUGAGUGAAAGCUUGAAGGAGCAAUACCGCGUGGAGGACGAAGGCCUUUGGGUUGUAAACUUCUUUUCUCAUUGAAGAAGAUCUGACGGUAUUUGAGGAAUAAGGAUCGGCUAAUUUUGUGCCAGCAGCCGCGGUAAUACAAGAGAUCCGAGCGUUAUUUGUUGUUAUUGGGCGUAAAGAGUCUGUAGGUUGUUGGAUGUGUUUAGUGUUAAAUCCCAAAGCUUAACUUUGGUCCAGCGCUAAAAACUGUUUGACUUGAGUUUGGUAGGGGUAAAGGGUAUUUCCAGUGUAGUGGUGAAAUGCGUAGAUAUUGGAAAGAACGUCAAUCGCGAAGGCGCUUUGCUGGGCUAUUUACUGACACUGAGAGACGAAAGCUAAGGGAACAAAACGGAUUAGAUACCCGUGUAGUCUUAGCCGUAAACGAUGGGUACUAAAUGAUACAAGUUUGUAUUGUUGCAGCUAACGCGUAAGUAUCCCGCCUGGGGAGUAUGCUUGCAAAAGUGAAACUCAAAGGAAUUGACGGGGGCUCGCACAAGCAGUGGAGCAUGUGGUUCAAUUCGAUGUUACCCGAAUAAUCUUACCAGAGUUUGACAUGCUAGGAAAUUUCUGAAAGGGGAUGUGCCGUAAGGAACCUAGACACAGGUAGUGCAUGGCUGUCGUCAGCUCGUGUCGUGAGAUGUUGGGUUAAGUCCCGCAACGAGCGCAACCCUUGUUUUUAGUUGUUUUUUUCUUUCUAAAAAGACUGCCGGUUAUAAAUCGGAGGAAGGUGAGGAUGAGGUCAAGUCAACAUGCUCUUUAUACUCUGGGCUACACACGUGCUACAAUGGUUAAGACAAUGAGUUGCGAACUUGUGAAGGUAAGCUAAUCUCAAAAACUUAAUCUAAGUUCAGAUUAUAGGCUGUAACUCGCCUAUAUGAAGGCGGAAUUGCUAGUAAUCGCCGAUCACCUAUGCGGCGGUGAAUACGUUYUCGAGCCUUGUACACACCGCCCGUCACACCAUGGAAGUUGGCUAUACCUGAAGAUGUUACUUUAACUUACAACAGAUGGGGGCAUCUAAGGUAGGGCUAGUAACUAGGGUGAAGUCGUAACAAGGUAGCUCUGGGGAAAGGGGGGG
This 1452-nucleotide ribosomal RNA is filed under the name Trachelomonas bernardinensis. RNAcentral describes it as "bacterial SSU rRNA". It matches the Rfam family "Bacterial small subunit ribosomal RNA". The record is from RNAcentral. Lineage: Eukaryota; Euglenozoa; Euglenophyceae; Euglenales; Euglenaceae.